AUCCAGUUGACGAGUCUCAAAUAGGACGAAAUGCACACUGUCUUGGAU
Molecule: non-coding RNA, 48 nt
Filed under: Trichobilharzia regenti
Lineage: Eukaryota; Metazoa; Platyhelminthes; Trematoda; Strigeidida; Schistosomatidae
Source: RNAcentral